UGCAUAUCAAAAAGCUGAGGAAAAGAAACCAACAGGGAUUGCCUUAGUAGCGGCGAGUGAAGCGGCAAAAGCUCAAAUUUGAAAUCUGGCUCUUUCAGAGUCCGAGUUGUAAUUUGAAGAAGGUAUCUUUGGGUCUGGCUCUUGUCUAUGUUUCUUGGAACAGAACGUCACAGAGGGUGAGAAUCCCGUGCGAUGAGAUGAUCCAGGCCUAUGUAAAGUUCCUUCGAAGAGUCGAGUUGUUUGGGAAUGCAGCUCUAAGUGGGUGGUAAAUUCCAUCUAAAGCUAAAUAUUGGCGAGAGACCGAUAGCGAACAAGUACAGUGAUGGAAAGAUGAAAAGAACUUUGAAAAGAGAGUGAAAAAGUACGUGAAAUUGUUGAAAGGGAAGGGCUUGAGAUCAGACUUGGUAUUUUGUAUGUUACUUCUUCGGGGGUGGCCUCUACAGUUUAUCGGGCCAGCAUCAGUUUGGGCGGUAGGAGAAUUGCGUUGGAAUGUGGCACGGCUUCGGUUGUGUGUUAUAGCCUUCGUCGAUACUGCCAGCCUAGACUGAGGACUGCGGUUUAUACCUAGGAUGUUGGCAUAAUGAUCUUAAGUCGCCCGUCUUGAACCAC
Molecule: ribosomal RNA, 609 nt
Filed under: Candida tropicalis
Lineage: Eukaryota; Fungi; Ascomycota; Pichiomycetes; Serinales; Debaryomycetaceae
Description: eukaryotic LSU rRNA
Rfam family: Eukaryotic large subunit ribosomal RNA
Source: RNAcentral